GUAGGGUGCGAGCGUUAAUCGGAAUUACUGGGCGUAAAGUGUGCGCAGGCGGCCGAGCAAGUCGAGUGUGAAAGCCCCGGGCUUAACUUGGGAAUUGCGCUCGAAACUACUUGGCUGGAGUGUGGCAGAGGAAGGUGGAAUUCCACGUGUAGCGGUGAAAUGCGUAGAGAUGUGGAGGAACACCAAUGGCGAAGGCAGCCUUCUGGGCCAACACUGACGCUCAUGCACGAAAGCGUGGGGAGCAAACAGGAUUAGAUACCCUGGUAGUCCACGCCCUAAACGAUGACGACUAGUUGUUGGAGGAGUUAAAUCCUUUAGUAACGCAGCUAACGCGCGAAGUCGUCCGCCUGGGGAGUACGGUCGCAAGAUUA
Molecule: ribosomal RNA, 371 nt
Filed under: uncultured bacterium
Lineage: Bacteria
Description: bacterial SSU rRNA
Rfam family: Bacterial small subunit ribosomal RNA
Source: RNAcentral